Molecule: microRNA precursor, 88 nt
Filed under: Canis lupus familiaris (dog)
Lineage: Eukaryota; Metazoa; Chordata; Mammalia; Carnivora; Canidae
Also listed under: 1 other name
Description: mir-8799 microRNA precursor family
Rfam family: mir-8799 microRNA precursor family
Source: Rfam by way of RNAcentral
GGGGGGUGGCCGGAUCCUGGGCUGUUUCCGGCACCCUGUGCUCCGGGUCUGCGCUGUUGGAUUCGUGCUCCCGGCCACACAGCCGCCU